RNAcentral lists this ribosomal RNA (1097 nucleotides) under human metagenome. RNAcentral's name for it is "bacterial LSU rRNA". It matches the Rfam family "Bacterial large subunit ribosomal RNA", at positions 1699 to 2806 of the family's 2925-position model. The record is from RNAcentral.
GCAUUGUUAAGGAACUCGGCAAAAUGACCCCGUAACUUCGGGAGAAGGGGUGCCAUCCUCCGGGAUGGCCACAGAAAAUAGGCUCAAGCAACUGUUUAGCAAAAACACAGGUCUAUGCGAAACCGAAAGGUGAGGUAUAUGGGCUGACGCCUGCCCGGUGCUGGAAGGUUAAGAGGAGAGGUUAGCGCAAGCGAAGCUUUGAAUUGAAGCCCCAGUAAACGGCGGCCGUAACUAUAACGGUCCUAAGGUAGCGAAAUUCCUUGUCGGGUAAGUUCCGACCCGCACGAAAGGCGUAAUGAUUUGAGCGCUGUCUCAACAAUGCACCCGGUGAAAUUGAAGUACCAGUGAAGAUGCUGGUUACCCGCGCCAGGACGGAAAGACCCCAUGGAGCUUUACUCCAGUUUGGUACUGGGAUUCGGUAAUACUCGUACAGGAUAGGUGGGAGACAUAGAAGCAUGGACGCCAGUUUAUGCAGAGUCGCCGUUGGGAUACCACCCCUGUAUUGCUGGAUUUCUAACCUGCGGCCGUUAUCCGGCCGGGGGACAAUGCCAGACGGGGAGUUUGACUGGGGCGGUCGCCUCCGAAAGAGUAUCGGAGGCGCUCGAAGGUUCCCUCAGAAUGGUCGGAAACCAUUCAAAGAGUGCAAAGGCAGAAGGGAGCUUGACUGCGACACCGACGGGUGGAGCAGGUACGAAAGUAGGACUUAGUGAUCCGGUGGUAUAAAGUGGGAUUGCCAUCGCUCAACGGAUAAAAGCUACCCUGGGGAUAACAGGCUUAUCACUCCCAAGAGUUCACAUCGACGGAGUGGUUUGGCACCUCGAUGUCGGCUCAUCGCAUCCUGGGGCUGUAGCAGGUCCCAAGGGUUGGGCUGUUCGCCCAUUAAAGCGGUACGCGAGCUGGGUUCAGAACGUCGUGAGACAGUUCGGUCCCUAUCCGGCGUGGGCGUAAGAUAUUUGAGAGGAGCCGUCCUUAGUACGAGAGGACCGGGACGGACUGACCGCUGGUGUACCUGUUGGAGAGUAACUCCAUGGCAGGGUAGCUAUGUCGGGACGGGAUAAACGCUGAAGGCAUCUAAGCGUGAAGCCCCCCUCAAGAUG